RNAcentral lists this ribosomal RNA (731 nucleotides) under uncultured soil bacterium. Its description in RNAcentral is "bacterial SSU rRNA". It matches the Rfam family "Bacterial small subunit ribosomal RNA", at positions 56 to 776 of the family's 1533-position model. The record is from RNAcentral.
UGCAAGUCGAACGGCAGCGCGAGAGAGCUUGCUCUCUUGGCGGCGAGUGGCGGACGGGUGAGUAAUAUAUCGGAACGUGCCCAGUAGCGGGGGAUAACUACUCGAAAGAGUGGCUAAUACCGCAUACGCCCUACGGGGGAAAGGGGGGGAUCGCAAGACCUCUCACUAUUGGAGCGGCCGAUAUCGGAUUAGCUAGUUGGUGGGGUAAAGGCUCACCAAGGCAACGAUCCGUAGCUGGUUUGAGAGGACGACCAGCCACACUGGGACUGAGACACGGCCCAGACUCCUACGGGAGGCAGCAGUGGGGAAUUUUGGACAAUGGGGGAAACCCUGAUCCAGCCAUCCCGCGUGUAUGAUGAAGGCCUUCGGGUUGUAAAGUACUUUUGGCAGAGAAGAAAAGGUAUCUCCUAAUACGAGAUACUGCUGACGGUAUCUGCAGAAUAAGCACCGGCUAACUACGUGCCAGCAGCCGCGGUAAUACGUAGGGUGCAAGCGUUAAUCGGAAUUACUGGGCGUAAAGCGUGUGUAGGCGGUUCGGAAAGAAAGAUGUGAAAUCCCAGGGCUCAACCUUGGAACUGCAUUUUUAACUGCCGAGCUAGAGUAUGUCAGAGGGGGGUAGAAUUCCACGUGUAGCAGUGAAAUGCGUAGAUAUGUGGAGGAAUACCGAUGGCGAAGGCAGCCCCCUGGGAUAAUACUGACGCUCAGACACGAAAGCGUGGGGAGCAAACAGG